This is a non-coding RNA of Sus scrofa (pig), 45 nucleotides long. NCBI's taxonomy places the organism in Eukaryota, Metazoa, Chordata, Mammalia, Artiodactyla, Suidae. The record is from Rfam.
UGAAAAGCUCUAUUCAGAGCUACCUAUUUACCCCUGGAAUUGUAC